CGCAAGAGAAGGACCUGCAGCGAGCCAAAUGCAUUUUUAGUGAAGCAGUCAUCAUUAGAAGAUAGUCGCCAAAGCGACCCUGUGCAACAUUAUGAUAAUGCAGUUGUAAUGAAGAAGUCCUUAGUAGAAGAUAGAGCGCAAAAAAGGUUCCGGCGUGAGCCUAUGCAACGAUAUAAUAAUGCAGUUCUGAUGAAGCAAUCUUCAUUAGAAGAGAGGCCCACAAAAAGUUCUGAUCUUUCUUCUGAUGCAUCCUCUCAUAGCCGUCAACCUAGA
Molecule: long non-coding RNA, 273 nt
Organism: Lolium perenne
Lineage: Eukaryota; Viridiplantae; Streptophyta; Magnoliopsida; Poales; Poaceae
Source: RefSeq, a predicted model, not a curated record